Molecule: non-coding RNA, 29 nt
Filed under: Rattus norvegicus (Norway rat)
Lineage: Eukaryota; Metazoa; Chordata; Mammalia; Rodentia; Muridae
Source: RNAcentral
UCUGGAUCAAUACGAUCUAGAUGUGUGUC